UUCUAUGGGACGACAGCAGAGAUUUCAAUAUUGAAUGAUCAAUGGUCAUACCAUGGUUGGCUGUGCAGCGUUUGGAUGCUCCAAUCGGUCCGAGAAGGGUUACCACAUGUAUGGCUUCCCCAAGGACCAAGAGCGCAGGAAGAAAUGGAUGGCAAUGGUCAGCCGUCAAAACAUACAAGUGACAGGGGUCAGCAACCGUCAAAAACUAUGUAAUGUAAUUAAUGUUCACAUCACUUGAUAGCAUUUCAAAGGGCAUAAUAAUUCUAAGUGUAGAGAAUUAUGACUUUUCAAUGAUAUUUUAAGUGCAAUGGAAACUGAUCUUACAAGCCUACCUAUAAAAAGGUACACUUUGAAGAUGACCAA
Gadus macrocephalus (Pacific cod) is the source of this 363-nucleotide long non-coding RNA. RefSeq lists it as uncharacterized. The record is from RefSeq and is a predicted model, not a curated record. NCBI's taxonomy places the organism in Eukaryota, Metazoa, Chordata, Actinopteri, Gadiformes, Gadidae. The transcript has 2 exons.